Molecule: long non-coding RNA, 1145 nt
Filed under: Daphnia pulex (common water flea)
Lineage: Eukaryota; Metazoa; Arthropoda; Branchiopoda; Diplostraca; Daphniidae
Description: uncharacterized LOC124199847, transcript variant X2
Source: RNAcentral
UAAAAUGUCUGCAAUUGUCAACCUCGUGUUUUCCGUAAUCUCACUCAGCAGUUUGUGUCAACGAGUCCCAUUUCUAAUUAUCCCACAUCCUUUCGCAAAAAUGAAGAAAUUCUAAAAGUGUAUGACUGGCCCUCAGUCAGGCCAGUUGCCAGGUCUUUCCAUCCAGCUAGUGUCCUGCUGCCCUUGCAUCAGGGCUGGGUUGUUCCGGGGGCAACACCACCCAGUAAAUUUGCCAAUGCAGAGUUGAUGAAGAUCCCCAACUUUCUUCACUUGACACCACUUACUAUUGAGAGACAUUGCCAAGCAUUGAAAAAGUUCUGCACAGAGUGCCGUAAGAGUUGGAUAACAACGAAAAGAUUGACAAUCAUUUACCCAUCACAAUCACAACUAGUGAUUACCUCAAUUCUUUCCCCUCAUUGAGUGAUGCCCGAGCCAGAAUUGUAACACUCCAGGUGAAAUUGAGCUCUUUGAAAUUGGACAACCAUGCCAAGGAUAAAUUCCUCUUUUUUCUGUACCGGCUGUACAUUUUUUAAGAAACACUUCAGAACUAUUCAGGAUUAUCAGUCUGGUAAAAGUAUGAGCUUCUUUGUUGCUGCCCAACGUACAUAUGGAUUUGAUGCAGCCAGCUGAGGGCUUUAACUCUUGUUGAGUGUUUUAUGUUCGCGUAGUUGCUGUCCGAUGUGGCACGUUGUUGAAGCCUAUGCUGGUGAAAGAUCUUUCUACAUCAAGUUCAAUUGACCGUUCCUUGGUACUGAUGUUGUGUUACCGAAGUUGCAUCAUAUUUUGUUAAAUUGUCAUCGUGACUAUUGCAGUUUACCGUUUAUAAGUUCAGAAGCAACAAAAACAAAUAUGGGAUGUUUAUGUCAAUCAAAUAAUAAACAUGUUUUGGGGGUUGGGAAGGGAAAGUGGUGGAUGUUGGAGGAUAUUUCAAGUUUGGAUAAAAAUUCAGUUAAUCUAUAACCCUACAAAUGUAUCCCUACCAAUUAAUCUCCAAACCCCACAAACAUAUACCUUCCAAUCCUUCAAACCCCGAAAACAUACACCUACCAUACCAACCCUUAAAUCUAUACCCUCAACCCUAUAAACCAAUGUUAAACCUUAACCAUGAAACAUCUGUAAUAAAUAAAAAAAAUACACUACAUGAA